GGUUUCCSUAKRKGRRMCUGMGGAAGGAUCAUUGUCGAAGCCUGCCCAGCAGAAAGACCGGCGAACACGUUGCACAACACUCGUGGGGCGCUGACGCCCCGCGGUACCCGUCCCCGCCGGUUGCGUGCGGCCUCGGCCCGCGCCCUCGGCACCAAACGAACAUCGGCGCGGAAUGCGUCAAGGAAAAACAACGAGACGGGCAUCUGGCCCCGAGGCCCCGGAAACGGUGAUUGCCCCGGCGGAUGCCUCGUCGUCGGUUCGAGUCUAAAAACGACUCUCGGCAACGGAUAUCUAGGCUCUCGCAUCGAUGAAGAACGUAGCGAAAUGCGAUACGUGGUGUGAAUUGCAGAAUCCCGUGAACCAUCGAGUCUUUGAACGCAAGUUGCGCCCAAAGCCGUCGGGCCGAGGGCACGUCUGCCUGGGCGUCACACACCGUCGCCCCCCCCACCUGGGACCCGAGUGGGGGGCGCGGACGAUGACCUCCCGUCGUCUCUUCGCUUGGCGGUUGGUCUAAAUUCGAGUCCUUGGUCGCUCCGUCGUGGCAACAGGUCGUCGAUCGCUCGGUGCCGCCGUCACGUGCGUUGGACUUGCAUCGGGACUCGGAGAGAGACCCCAAUGCACCCGUCGGAGGUGCUCCCGGCGCGACCCCAGGUCAGGCGGGGCUACCCGC
This 670-nucleotide ribosomal RNA is filed under the name Antiaris toxicaria (upas tree). RNAcentral's name for it is "eukaryotic LSU rRNA". The record is from RNAcentral. Lineage: Eukaryota; Viridiplantae; Streptophyta; Magnoliopsida; Rosales; Moraceae.